UUACCCGAUGAAAUUUAGCAAAUCUGUCAGCGGGGGAAAAUAAACUAACCGGGAUUCUCCUGGUAAUGGCGAGUGAAGGGAGAUUAGCCCAUCACCGGAGCCCAUCCAUGUUUGUGGAAAGGGCAAUGUGGGGAUUAGGCAUGGACCCGGGGACACCAACCUACUCGAAGUCCAAUUCCGUUUAUGGCUGGAUACUCCCCACAGCGGGUGAAAGGCCCGGACGGGUAGGUCAUGACAUUUGUUGUGUCCCUCAGUAAACAUGCCUUCGCGUCGGAUUGCUAGAGGGUGCGGUCCAAAUUGGGUGGUAAACUCCAUCCAAUGGGCUAAAUACUUGCGUGAGUCCUGAUAGUGAUCACGCGCUGUCCCA
RNAcentral lists this ribosomal RNA (367 nucleotides) under Monopisthocotylea gen. sp. 2 RRS-2013. RNAcentral describes it as "eukaryotic LSU rRNA". It matches the Rfam family "Eukaryotic large subunit ribosomal RNA", at positions 21 to 356 of the family's 3401-position model. The record is from RNAcentral. Lineage: Eukaryota; Metazoa; Platyhelminthes; Monogenea.